CAUAACUCUAUCUGCAGUGUGCCUGAUGUAGAUCCGCUAUCUAUGCUGACCUAAAUCUCAGCUCUGAGAAAUGACUUGUGGGACCCAGAGAAUUCUCAAAGAGAUGGAAAUGAUCUAGAUCAGUGUACUUCAACACGUACAUUAAACCCCUGAUUCAUACUGUGUCAAUUGAUUCAAGAUUAUGAUGGGGGAAUGGGGCACUAAAUUAUAUUAUAUGCAUGUUUCAAUAAGUUGUCCUACAGAGAAUACAUAGUGUUGGACUGAAGAAAAAAAACGAAUCGGUACAAAAUAACAAACCAAGCAGUAACCCACGUGGAUGUCAGAACAGGGGAGACUCCACCGUGCGCUUGACGUUUAACACUGCAUUCGAAGCCCACGGGAGGCCUACAGUAAACUCUUGAGGGUGACCUGUGACAGUGGACCAUGCCCCAGACAACGAGUAACCCCCCAGGCUUGUGCAUUGGUGCCAAAACCAUUCCAGAGAGAAAGCAGAUAUAUUCAUGCAAUGGUAUACUGGACCCUUCUCCAGGGCGUAGGUACAAGCAGGCCUAUCCUUUCAGGUAUAGGUGGAAAUGGAGGAAGAAGUCCAAAAAAAAACCGCCACCAGCCCCACCUCUGCCAUCAUAUGAGGAAGAAAACUGGGAGGAGGAGAUAGGAAGCUUUGAGACAUAUGGAUUUGCUCCAUAUGGCCCAGAGGAUGUGGAUAGAGUGGCCCUACAGGGGUUGACCCUGAACCAGACUCCCUGCCCUCCCCACCCCCAGACAGCAACCGACUACAGCCCUGCGACCCACCACCAAGCCCCCGUCAAAUGGGUUCGCCACAUCAUCCGCAGCGUGGAGGAGCAGUUUGUCGACGCAGAGGAUUGAGGUCCGGUGUGUCCUGAUACACUUUUUAUUAGUUAACUCUUUAAUCGUAAGCUCUUAGGAAUGAUAUUUUAGUUGGUUUCUCAGGUGUCAGGGUUAGGGUUAGUAUUACUUGUUCCUUGGUUUGUUAAUGAAUUAGGAUGUCAUAUUUGUAGCCUCGUUGACAGUUGGGUUACAUGUUAACAAUUCAUUAUUUUUUUUGUGAAUCAUUUCAAUAGAUGUGUAGUCUAACUCUUAACUAAAAGAGAAAUUGUAGUUUUUAUCUUAUUUUUUAAAUACUUUUGUUUUAAAAGCAAUCACCUGAUAUAGGCCCAUGUGUUCAAGUGUCACUCCCUUUAAAAUCAUAUGUGUUAAAAUGGAGAGGGCACAGUGCAAGAAUAAGUAUGUUUGGAUAUAUUCUCAAAUGGAUUUUCCUGAUUGAUUCUGAGCCCAUGGAGAGCAAGAGGUCAGGUUGCCAUGACUACAGCACCCUGUAAGACACCACCCACUGGGCACAGAUGUCAAUUCAACGUCUAUUCCAAGUUGGUUCAAUGUAAUUUCAUUGAAAUGGUGUGGAAACAAUGUUGAUUCAACCAGUGUGCGCUCAGUGGAAAUGAAAUUCAGCUUUUGAGAUCCAAGAUAUCUUUAAUGCAAAUAAACCAUGCAUUUUAACAACAAAACUCUACACUGAUGCAUCAUUCCCACAGUGUUUUGGUUGUAGUGGUAGUAGUUCAGAAGAGAAAAUUGUAGCAUUAGAUGCCC
Long non-coding RNA from Oncorhynchus tshawytscha (Chinook salmon), 1605 nucleotides. NCBI's taxonomy places the organism in Eukaryota, Metazoa, Chordata, Actinopteri, Salmoniformes, Salmonidae. The record is from Ensembl.